This is a long non-coding RNA of Eleginops maclovinus (Patagonian blennie), 823 nucleotides long. RefSeq lists it as uncharacterized. The transcript has 2 exons. NCBI's taxonomy places the organism in Eukaryota, Metazoa, Chordata, Actinopteri, Perciformes, Eleginopidae. The record is from RefSeq and is a predicted model, not a curated record.
CAGGACAUCACCACAGCCCAGCUUACCAAACUGGACAUAGGUGACAAGAAUAUCCUGAUGCCGGUGCACUGUGUUGAUAUUGGCUUGGGUGCUGAGGAGGCCCUCAAGGGGACACCAUUCUCCAACAGUUCGAUGCUGCGUUGUCUGUGGAGUGCAGGCAUGAAGAUUUCAUCUCCUUCAAGCCAAUGCAAAAGAGGCUAGAUGUCUUCCUUCAUGGCUUCAUCGGCAAGGCAUACCCAGAUCUUUGGGCGUUUUGCAAGACCCUUUUACUGCUUUCUCAUGGUCAGGCGUCUGUAGAGAGAGGCUUCUCAGUGAACAAAGAGAUCGAGACGGAGAAUAUGCAAGAAGAAACAUUGGUCGCACACAGGCUUGUUUACGACUACGUUGCAAUACAUGGGGGCGUUACCAAGGUUCCACUUACAUCUGACCUAAUGAAAUCUGUCAUGGCUGCCAGGUCACGGUACCGUGUGCAUUUGGACGAACAGAGGAAGAAGAAGGAGACAGAGACACAAGGGAAGAAAAGGGCACACACGGAGGAGCAGUCACAAGACCUGAAAGUCAAGAGGGACAGUCUACAUAAAGUUACUGAGAGCCUGGGCAAAGAGGCAGAUGAGUUGGCAGAGCAAGCAGAGGGCAAGGCUGGGAGCAAAAUGGCACAUCUGAUUUCAAAAUCAAAUGCUCUGAGGAGGGCUGCCAAAGACAAGCUCUCCCAGCUUAAGGUUCUGGGGGAUGAAAUUGCCACCAAAAGUGCAGAGCUUAAAAGCAUGUAAAUAAUGUAAAUAAUAUGUUUGUUUCAUUGACAAUAAAUGUAAAUUGACGGCAA